RNAcentral lists this non-coding RNA (184 nucleotides) under Spirochaetales bacterium. RNAcentral describes it as "6S RNA". It matches the Rfam family "6S / SsrS RNA". Rfam says of the family: E. coli 6S RNA was the first non coding RNA to be sequenced, but its function was unknown until recently. It consists of 184 nucleotides that fold into an extended hairpin structure with a large single-stranded internal bulge. The 6S RNA specifically associates with RNA polymerase holoenzyme containing the sigma70 specificity factor. The record is from RNAcentral. Lineage: Bacteria; Pseudomonadati; Spirochaetota; Spirochaetia; Spirochaetales.
AUAACCCUGCGGUGUUCGGGAGGGGUUUAUAUCUCUUGGGUCAACCCAUCAGAACGGGAUUCCAAAUCUCGGGGUUGAAUGCUCUCCGCCUUGAGCGGUUCGGCACAGGAUGCCCCGAUGCGGAAACCCACUUGAACAAUUGGAGUUCAAGAGAUUUCUCCCCAAGCGGCAUCGCGGGGAUUUU